UACGUAUGGUGCAAGCGUUAUCCGGAUUUACUGGGUGUAAAGGGAGCGUAGACGGCUUAGCAAGUCUGAUGUGAAAGCUAUGGGCUCAACCCAUAAACUGCAUUGGAAACUGUUCAGCUGGAGUGUCGGAGAGGUAAGCGGAAUUCCUAGUGUAGCGGUGAAAUGCGUAGAUAUUAGGAGGAACACCGGUGGCGAAGGCGGCUUACUGGACGAUAACUGACGUUGAGGCUCGAAUGUGCGGGAAUCAAAC
RNAcentral lists this ribosomal RNA (250 nucleotides) under uncultured prokaryote. Its description in RNAcentral is "partial 16S ribosomal RNA". It matches the Rfam family "Bacterial small subunit ribosomal RNA", at positions 524 to 773 of the family's 1533-position model. The record is from RNAcentral.